UUAAAUAAAAGGUUAAGCUAACUUAAUUUUAAACGUUUAGUGACUAUUUCAUCACGUUUCCAUUUGUAGAAGACGUUGUUAUAUGGCUUGGAAAGUGUAAAAUAAGGGUUAGAAAAAAUUUUCUAAUUACCUAUAAUUAAGGAGACGACGAAGUUCUGUUGCAAUAAAAUACCACAAAGUUAUGCAAACUGAUUAAUUCACUAUUACAUUCAAUAUUCAUAUAUACUUAUGUUUAUACUUGUAUAUAUAAUAAAUUUCAAAUAUAUAUGAAGUAGACGCAGUGUUUAUUCGUAAUACGUUUAAUUUAUUUUUAUAUCUUAAAAUAAUCUGAUUAAAUAAAAUUAGAUUCAAUAUAAAUAAGCGAUGUAGUGUUUAUGCUAGUACAUAUUCUUCAUGAUCCUGGUGCAAAAAGCUCAUCGUACAAACGAUCAAUGAAUACUCCGAUUCAAUAAAAGAAGAAUCAUUUGCCAUCGUUUUGAGGCAGAAUGCUCAUCGUGCAAAGGAUCAACAAAGCCUACAAUAAAUAAUCAAUGCAAUCAUGCGGGUAAUAAUGAAUCGAGUGUUGUACCAUAUAAUUAAUAUAAUAAUCAUGAACUGGAAAGAUUCUUCGUUCGUUGCUUUAAUUUCGUCCACGUUUUGCAAUUUAAGUUUUAGUAUCAUAUGCACUUAAAUCAACUUAAAGCAAUCAAUCAUUGAGUUAUGAUUUGUUUCUAUAAAGUUUAAAAGUAUUUUUCUUUUUAUAUUGUCACAGUAUUCGUGUAUUAGAGUUAGUGCAUCAAUGAUAAUGAACGAAAAUUAAAUACGUUUUCUUCUA
Long non-coding RNA from Vespa mandarinia (Asian giant hornet), 814 nucleotides. RefSeq lists it as uncharacterized. Lineage: Eukaryota; Metazoa; Arthropoda; Insecta; Hymenoptera; Vespidae. The record is from RefSeq and is a predicted model, not a curated record.